AGUCGAGGGGAAACGACAUCGAAAGCUUGCUUUUGAUGGGCGUCGACCGGCGCACGGGUGAGUAACGCGUAUCCAACCUGCCCACCACUUGGGGAUAACCUUGCGAAAGUAAGACUAAUACCCAAUGAUAUCUCUAGAAGGCAUCUGAAAGAGAUUAAAGAUUUAUCGGUGAUGGAUGGGAAUGCGUCUGAUUAGCUUGUUGGCGGGGUAACGGCCCACCAAGGCGACGAUCAGUAGGGGUUCUGAGAGGAAGGUCCCCCACAUUGGAACUGAGACACGGUCCAAACUCCUACGGGAGGCAGCAGUGAGGAAUAUUGGUCAAUGGACGAGAGUCUGAACCAGCCA
RNAcentral lists this ribosomal RNA (345 nucleotides) under uncultured bacterium. RNAcentral describes it as "bacterial SSU rRNA". It matches the Rfam family "Bacterial small subunit ribosomal RNA", at positions 60 to 394 of the family's 1533-position model. The record is from RNAcentral.